RNAcentral lists this ribosomal RNA (460 nucleotides) under uncultured bacterium. RNAcentral describes it as "partial 16S ribosomal RNA". It matches the Rfam family "Bacterial small subunit ribosomal RNA", at positions 338 to 795 of the family's 1533-position model. The record is from RNAcentral.
CCUACGGGAGGCAGCAGUGAGGAAUAUUGGUCAAUGGACGAGAGUCUGAACCAGCCAAGUAGCGUGAAGGAUGACUGCCCUAUGGGUUGUAAACUUCUUUUAUAUGGGAAUAAAAUGUUCCACGUGUGGGAUUUUGUAUGUACCAUAUGAAUAAGGAUCGGCUAACUCCGUGCCAGCAGCCGCGGUAAUCCGGAGGAUCCGAGCGUUAUCCGGAUUUAUUGGGUUUAAAGGUAGCGUAGGUGGAUUGUUAAGUCAGUUGUGAAAGUUUGCGGCUCAACCGUAAAAUUGCAGUUGAAACUGGCAGUCUUGAGUACAGUAGAGGUGGGCGGAAUUCGUGGUGUAGCGGUGAAAUGCUUAGAUAUCACGAAGAACUCCGAUUGCGAAGGCAGUUCACUGGACUGCAACUGACACUGAGGCUCGAAAGUGUGGGUAUCAAACAGGAUUAGAUACCCUUGUAGUC